UGCGGCUGCCGGGGCCGGGGCCGGGGCCGGGCUCUGGCUCUGGCUCUGCUCUGUGCGUCCCAGGGCGCUGUCGCCCUGCUCGCAGGGCUUGGCCGAUAGGCCGGCUCCGCUCCGCCCCAGGGACCCGGCGGCGGGGCGGGCGUCGCUUUCUGCGGCUCUCGGGCGGCCGCCGCCCGCCCCGCCCCGCCCGGCAGCCAGCCCGCCGAGCGGCGUUGCUGCGGUCGCGGCCGGGGAAGGCCGCGCUGUGCAGGGCCAGGCCCCGCUGCCGAGAGCGGGGACGGGGGAGCCCGGCUCCCGCCGCGAUUUCUCUGUUUAAUCGCUUUUUUUCCACCCUCCCCUCCGGUUCAACUUUCUGCUUGUGUAAGAAUUCCUCUUGCGGAGGUCGGCCCUUACGGCAAGCCAAAGUUUUUCGCUAUUUCCCGCUUAGCCAGAAGUCGUCGGUGAACACUUUGUCCGCAGCAGUAACAAAUUUGGUAUAGCUGCCAGUGCUCCCGCAGAAACAGGGUCUGACUUGACGGGAGUCAGCCUGCAGGCUCUCUGUGGUUCCCUUGUGCCUGAAAGUGAAAUUUUUCAAAGAGGACUGUCACCCCGCAGGGAUGUAACACAGAGGAGUGGCUGCUGCGAUGUGACUUUUGGUAAUGAGCGUGCUUACUGCCAGCUUCCGCAUGAGAAAGGGACAUGUCAUUGUGGACCAAAUGGAAGAUUUUAUGAAUCACAAGGCCAGAUGAUGAUCCAGUACACGGCAUAUACGGGAGAAAACCGGAGGAGAAUGUUUUAAGGCCGCAGAAUUUCCAGUUUGUCUCUGCACGGGGGUGGUAAGUUUGUUCUCACCCUCCCCUUCCUCCGGAAGAUGUCAUGGUCGGGAUCUGGGGGUUGGAAGAGACCGGCGUGGGGCUGGAGAGCCCUCUGUACAGCCUGCUGUUUCCCAGACCUGGGGCACUGCCAAGCAGCAGCCUGUGAGGGAUGAGCGCUCCCCCACGCCGCCUGCCCUCUGUCUCCCUGGAGCGCGUUAGGUUCUCCAGGAUUUUCAGUAUCCUUUUUCAUUGUCCUUGUGUUUCCUAAGUUCCCUUGAUCCAAAAAAAUAACACGCCAGUAGCUGCGGAGAUGAUUAUUGUUCAGUUCUCACUUUCAGGGAGGAGGGCGGGCAGCCCUGAGGAGCUAGGGUCAGAGAGGAGCAGGCCGAGAGCCAGGUGGUGGCGAGUAGGUGCCACCUGGGGGCUCUGCAGGCUCGGGAGAGGUGUGUGCCACUGAGCGCCGGGCCGGGCACCGGCACCGCGCUCCGGCGCCGUGCCCUCACCGUGCUUCCAAACAUGGAACGAACUUCCCGGCGGGACGGGCUGGGAGUGCUGCCGCCGGGGAAGGAGACGGAGCGCGGAACUGCCGUUUGCCCGCAGCGGUGGCGGGGCCCCGGCUCUCGCUGGCUCCCGUUCCCGCACGGGCAGCGCGGGGCGGGCUCGCCCCCAGCAUCGCCCGUUGCGGGGAGCCGCGGAGUUCUCUCGGGGGGGUGUCCUGGCCUUAGCAUACCUACCGUUAUGCUUUGACGUGUCAUGGUUUUAAUUUUAUCUAUCUGAGAGGAAGCUGCUAAUGAACGUUUAAAGCUUCAUGUAAUUCGUAUGCAAUUUUAUUUUGCAAAGUAAGUCUGUACAUUGAUCUAUUAAAAUCAUU
This is a long non-coding RNA of Chroicocephalus ridibundus (black-headed gull), 1665 nucleotides long. RefSeq lists it as uncharacterized. The transcript has 3 exons. Lineage: Eukaryota; Metazoa; Chordata; Aves; Charadriiformes; Laridae. The record is from RefSeq and is a predicted model, not a curated record.